This 253-nucleotide ribosomal RNA is filed under the name uncultured bacterium. RNAcentral's name for it is "partial 16S ribosomal RNA". It matches the Rfam family "Bacterial small subunit ribosomal RNA", at positions 524 to 776 of the family's 1533-position model. The record is from RNAcentral.
UACGAAGGUGGCAAGCGUUACUCGGAAUUACUAGGCGUAAAGCGCAGGUAGGUGGUGUGAUAAGUCCGUAAUGAAAUCUCCCGGCUUAACUGGGAGGGGUUUAGGGAUACUGUCAUGCUUGAGUGUGGUAGAGGUAACUGGAAUUCCCGGUGUAGCGGUGAAAUGCGUAGAGAUCGGGAGGAACACCUAUGGCGAAAGCAGGUUACUGGACCAAUACUGACACUGAGCUGCGAAAGCUAGGGGAGCAAACAGG